Molecule: transfer RNA, 67 nt
Filed under: Blaberus discoidalis (tropical cockroach)
Lineage: Eukaryota; Metazoa; Arthropoda; Insecta; Blattodea; Blaberidae
Also listed under: 1 other name
Description: tRNA-Leu
Source: RNAcentral
UCUGAUAUGGCAGAUAAGUGCAAUGAAUUUAAGCUUCAUUUAUAAAGAAUUUUUUCUUUUAUUAGAA